UGCUUCCACUGAUAGAAGGAAAAAAUUCAAGUGAUUGCGCCGGCUCUGCAAGCGCACACACAGUUACGUUUUGCUACCUCGACAAUGCAGCCUGUUCAUUAUCAUAAUAAAAUAGUCAGUCAAACAUAUGGGAAAAAAAAAAACACACUGCUCAGUUUAAAUAUGUAGUUAGUAAAAUCUGUGCCGUUAAGCGUUAUCACCGUAUUGCCGUGAUGUUAUGCAAAACAUUUAGUUUUAUGUGGAUAUUGGAACACCAGUUGAAGUAGGCUACAUAAUAAAUAAUAUUUUGGCAUUCAAAUACAUCGCGAAUACGGAAACAUUUGAUUUUGUGUCGAUUGAGAGACCCAACGGUGGUUUCAGUUCCGUUUUAGCCUAAAUUAAUUUGUUUUGUCUUGUCGUUUAUAUAGCUAUAGCUUCUUAUAUUUUUAAUUCUUGUUCUUUUCUAAAUACUGUUGAUUGAAAGGAUUUGUUGUGGAGUGAGGGGAACUAAAAUAGCCUAGCUAUGUUUACAGUGUUUAUUAUAAUUCUUGUAAACAUUUCGCGUCGUCAUUAGGCCUAUUUCUGAAUGAAAAUUUUUUUCUAAAAAAAACAACAAAAAAUUUAUAUAUGCAUAGCGUAUUUUAACCAUGCAGCAAACCUAUAUAUUUUGACAAAUUACUGAAAAAAAAUAAAGUAAAUGACUUUUAAACCGUUUAACUGAUUGUAUUAAUCGGUCAAAAAUUCUUACGGUCGGUUAACCGGUUAAAAUGAACAUCCCUAGUAUAAACCAAUUUUUUGGCCAUCCUAAGAGCUGUGGAAGAAUACAUUUACAAUAAAAUCUUUCAUGUGACCUGUAAUAUAAGAUAAUGGUUUCCCUUUUACUCGACAGGUGAAACAAUAAUUAUUGUCCAGCCUAUACCUAGUCCUGGUCCAGAAAUCUGCAGUGAAUCUAUAUUGGAUACAAAAUGACUUUGCGGCGGUGAUUCAGAAGAGCUGCAUCAGGGAAGGGAGGCUCAAAUGUCCCCAUUUUGAUCCAGCCCAGUUCCACUGUCAACACCUCAGAGUCCACGCAUUUCGCAGCCAGCCAGUCUUAAGUACAACACCCAGAAAUGAGCCACCUGCCUGGUCCUAGUCCCGGUCAUUACUGAGGGGGUCCUGCUGAUGGACUCUAAGGCCCCUGAUGUAGUGUGCUGACGGCAGGGCAUCACGGCACCAGGACUAAACUGUGCCACUGCGCCAUACCCGGACUCUGACCCACUGGAAUCGAGUGGCAGUUUGCCAAAAGACAAAGAAGCCUCUGCCAAUCUCAUCUGUGUCUCCAUUGGUGUGUAUGUCUGUCUGUUCGUAUAUAACUACACGUU
This 1340-nucleotide long non-coding RNA is filed under the name Sinocyclocheilus grahami. Its description in RNAcentral is "lncRNA (ENSSGRG00000049105.1)". Lineage: Eukaryota; Metazoa; Chordata; Actinopteri; Cypriniformes; Cyprinidae. The record is from RNAcentral.